UACGAAGGGGGCUAGCGUUGUUCGGAAUUACUGGGCGUAAAGCGCGCGCAGGCGGCCAUUCAAGUCAGGGGUGAAAGCCCAGAGCUCAACUCCAGAACUGCCUUCGAUACUGGGAGCUCGAGUCCGGGAGAGGUGAGUGGAACUGCGAGUGUAGAGGUGAAAUUCGUAGAUAUUCGCAAGAACACCAGUGGCGAAGGCGGCUCACUGGCCCGGUACUGACGCUGAGGUGCGAAAGCGUGGGGAGCAAACAGG
Molecule: ribosomal RNA, 252 nt
Filed under: uncultured bacterium
Lineage: Bacteria
Description: partial 16S ribosomal RNA
Rfam family: Bacterial small subunit ribosomal RNA
Source: RNAcentral